Long non-coding RNA from Phyllostomus hastatus (greater spear-nosed bat), 212 nucleotides. RefSeq lists it as uncharacterized. The record is from RefSeq and is a predicted model, not a curated record. Lineage: Eukaryota; Metazoa; Chordata; Mammalia; Chiroptera; Phyllostomidae. The transcript is spliced from 3 exons.
AUUUUAAUAUGAUGAUGUGGCUGAGGGGCCUGACCUAGUCAGUUUUCCUGGAUCUAGAGGCUUUGAGAGAAUUGUGAGAUGUCUCCUGAAACUCAUUGGCUCUUUGAUGCUGUUUUCAGAGAGAGAAGGAGCAGGAGAGAGAGAGUAAUGCUGAUGUGAGAGAAAAACAUUGAUCAGCUGCCUCCAGUACAUGCCCAACCAGAGAUUGAACA